AUUGAACGCUGGCGGCAGGCCUAACACAUGCAAGUCGAACGGUAGCACAGAGAGCUUGCUCUCGGGUGACGAGUGGCGGACGGGUGAGUAACGUCUGGGAAACUGCCCGAUGGAGGGAGAUAACUACUGGAAACGGUAGCUAAUACCGCAUAACGUCGCAAGACCAAAAUGGGGGACCUUCGGGCCUCACACCAUCGGAUGUGCCCAGAUGGGAUUAGCUAGUAGGUGGGGUAAUGGCUCACCUAGGCGACGAUCCCCAGCUGGUCUGAGAGGAUGACCAGCCACACUGGAACUGAGACACGGUCCAGACUCCUACGGGAGGCAGCAGUGGGGAAUAUUGCACAAUGGGCGCAAGCCUGAUGCAGCCAUGCCGCGUGUAUGAAGAAGGCCUUCGGGUUGUAAAGUACUUUCAGCGGGGAGGAAGGCGGUGAAGUUAAUAGCUUCACCGAUUGACGUUACCCGCAGAAGAAGCACCGGCUAACUCCGUGCCAGCCGCCGCCGUAA
This 504-nucleotide ribosomal RNA is filed under the name uncultured bacterium. RNAcentral's name for it is "partial 16S ribosomal RNA". It matches the Rfam family "Bacterial small subunit ribosomal RNA", at positions 30 to 523 of the family's 1533-position model. The record is from RNAcentral.